This 446-nucleotide ribosomal RNA is filed under the name uncultured bacterium. RNAcentral's name for it is "partial 16S ribosomal RNA". It matches the Rfam family "Bacterial small subunit ribosomal RNA", at positions 29 to 522 of the family's 1533-position model. The record is from RNAcentral.
AACGAACGCUGGCGGCAGGCUUAACACAUGCAAGUCGAACGCCCCGCAAGGGGAGUGGCAGACGGGUGAGUAACGCGUGGGAAUCUACCGUGCCCUGCGGAAUAGCUCCGGGAAACUGGAAUUAAUACCGCAUACGCCCUACGGGGGAAAGAUUUAUCGGGGUAUGAUGAGCCCGCGUUGGAUUAGCUAGUUGGUGGGGUAAAGGCCUACCAAGGCGACGAUCCAUAGCUGGUCUGAGAGGAUGAUCAGCCACAUUGGGACUGAGACACGGCCCAAACGCCUACGGGAGGCAGCAGUGGGGAAUAUUGGACAAUGGGCGCAAGCCUGAUCCAGCCAUGCCGCGUGAGUGAUGAAGGCCUUAGGGUUGUAAAGCUCUUUCACCGAUGAAGAUAAUGACGGUAGUCGGAGAAGAAGCCCCGGCUAACUUCGUGCCAGCAGCCGCGGUA